Oreochromis niloticus (Nile tilapia) is the source of this 914-nucleotide non-coding RNA. Lineage: Eukaryota; Metazoa; Chordata; Actinopteri; Cichliformes; Cichlidae. The record is from the annotation of a RefSeq genome assembly.
AAAAUAAAUGGCUUCCCCAUACAUAUUUCUGGCACAGUUACUAACAAAAUCACAGAACAAGAUCAAACAAUGCAAAGAGAAUUGCAGCAGAAAUGAUCAAUUAGAUGAAAAUAUUGCUCCACACUGUUAAAGAUGCAGUGACACAUAAGGUAGUAUUAUUACAGUGAAGCACCUGGUGUCACAAGAUAAAAACAUGCAAAACACUCUCCCACCUGUGACUCAUCUCUGCUGUCAUACCACGCCUCCCAACACAGAAAAAGACUGAGUCUGGUCUCUCAGUGUUAUCAGAACACAAUGAUGUUCACAGCUGCUCUCAUCAAACUCUCUGCAGCUUUGCUCUGGUUUGGAGGUCUAACUGAUGGGAGUGAUGUCUCCCAGACUCCUCUGCUAUGGAAGUCAGAGGGUCAGUCUGCCACAAUGACCUGCAAUCACACUAAGAGUUUUGAUUACAGACAGAUGUAUUGGUAUCAACAGCUGCCAGGACAGAAAAUAAAGCAAAUCGUUUUCACAGCUCCAAACACCCAGCAUACUUAUGAAACUGGCUUCAGUGAGGAAAAGUUUCCAGCAACAAAGAGCAGUUAUGAGACUGGAUCUCUGACAGUGGAGAAGCUGGUGCCUGGAGACAAUGGAGUGUAUUUCUGUGCUGUGAGUAAACACAGUGAUGCAGGUGGAUUAAAGAGCUGCACAAAUACCCAGACUAUGGUUUCACAAUGAACUGAAGACAUCAGUGUGUUUGAUUAUCUGUAGGGGGCGCUCAAUGCUCAUUAUUCAGAUUUACAGUCAUACUAAGCAAUAUCUGCAGUAACAAAGGGUAUGCAAUGAGAAAACUCCUCUGCAAUCUGGAAGCAUAAUUUUCUUGUACUGCUACAGUCAGAAUGAACAGAAAAAUGAGCAUAAAUGCAAACACAAAUCAC